This is a non-coding RNA of Phascolarctos cinereus (koala), 1055 nucleotides long. The record is from RefSeq and is a predicted model, not a curated record. NCBI's taxonomy places the organism in Eukaryota, Metazoa, Chordata, Mammalia, Diprotodontia, Phascolarctidae.
AUGAUGUGUGUGAGAGAUGGGGAGGGGGGAGGUGAGGCAGGCCAUCCUUUUUCAUUCUAUCUUUCUGUCUCCAGGACCAGCACAGUUCUUUGCACAUAUUAGCCACUGACUAAAUUCUUAUUGGAUUGGAAUGAACUGAUUAAAUCACUGAUCUUUUGAAUUCCUGAAGCAAAUUUCUCUAGAAACCAUCUGUCUGCCUGUAUUGGAGACAUUUACCAGGCUCGAUGGGUCUGAAACAAAGGCCUCUUCUAACAACAGUUGUCCAAGGAUGCCAUGUGGCAAUGAGUCAUGGAACACCAAGUCUCUGUAGAACGAAAGCUGCGGGUCAUGCCAAGGGCAAUGGAGAAGUAAUGGUGGGCAACUUGAGUUGGCUGCAACGUGUCACCAGACAUGAGUUGUGCAAGAGAAUAGGCAUAAGGAAUGUUGUCGGGAAGAUGGAUAACCAGAGAAAGUGGGCCAAUCAUGUGGAGAGUGAGAGAGAACCAGUGUGCAGUCUGCUGGCUCUGUUGGUAUCCAUCUGAAGUGGAGGAGGAAGAAGACCUUCCAUCUCAGAACAGAGACUGAGGCUUCCCCCUCUUCAGGAUGUUGCUCUUCUUCUGGAAGCUGGUUUCACAUGGUGGCUUAGAUUUUUCCAUCUCUGUAUCUAGCACCAUUUGAAAUCAGUGUUUUAGGAGUAAGAAUUGCAGCAAGGGAAGGACAUACAGAGACAUUUUAGUGGCUCAUCUGCUUUUUAGAUCUGCCAUUUGGACUGGGAAAAGACUCCCUCCACAAGAGGAUAAUUGUCAUAAAAAUCAAAUUAAAGGGUAGGACCACGUUCAAGGUAUUAACUCCAAUGAUAAUGCUAUGAGGAACUGAGGCCAGUUUUGCAUAGGUCAGUUGAAAAAACAAAAACAAAAACAAAUCAAAACACUGGAUGGGGGAUCUCAAGACCUGAGGUUCUAAUCUCAACCAGUUACUAGCAGUGUGAGCUUGGACUAGUCAAAGGCUCUGAGUCUGUUUUCUUUUCUUCAAAAUGGAAAUUAUAGGGGCAGCGAGGUGGCACAGUGGAUAGAGCA